GGGGCUGUAGUUCAGUGGUAGAGUGCUUGCCUAGGAUGCAUGAGGCACUUGGUUCCAUCCUCAGCUCCA
Molecule: transfer RNA, 69 nt
Filed under: Ictidomys tridecemlineatus (thirteen-lined ground squirrel)
Lineage: Eukaryota; Metazoa; Chordata; Mammalia; Rodentia; Sciuridae
Description: Spermophilus tridecemlineatus (thirteen-lined ground squirrel) tRNA
Rfam family: tRNA
About the family: Transfer RNA (tRNA) molecules are approximately 80 nucleotides in length. Their secondary structure includes four short double-helical elements and three loops (D, anti-codon, and T loops).
Source: Rfam by way of RNAcentral